Molecule: ribosomal RNA, 1905 nt
Filed under: Triticum aestivum (bread wheat)
Lineage: Eukaryota; Viridiplantae; Streptophyta; Magnoliopsida; Poales; Poaceae
Description: partial small subunit ribosomal RNA
Source: RNAcentral
AUGCCGUCGUCCUCCUCCUCCUCCUCGGUCCAACGCGCGACGAGCGACGCGCUCAUCGGCCCCGACUGGGCGACCAACCUCGAGAUCUGCGACACCCUCAACCGCGAUCCAGGCCAAACAAAAGAUGUUGUCAAGUCUCUCAAGAAGCGCAUUGCUCACAAGAACUCAAAGGUCCAGCUUCUCGCUCUCACGUUGUUGGAGACAAUGAUUAAAAAUUGUGGGGACAUUGUCCAUAUGCAUGUUGCUGAGAGAGACAUACUUCGUGAAAUGGUGAAGAUAGUAAAGAAAAGGCCUGAUUAUCAUGUAAAAGAGAAGAUUCUCACGCUGAUCGACACUUGGCAAGAAUUUUUUGGCGGCGCACGUUCAAAAUAUCCGCAAUACUAUGCAUCAUACCAGGACCUUUUGCGUGCCGGAGCUGUAUUUCCUCAAAGAUCAAAUGGAUCUGUGCCAAUAUUUACUCCUGCGCAGACUCAGCCUCUACAAAACUAUCCUCCUGCUCUACGCGAUGCUGACCACGAGGCUCCUGAAUCGUCAGCGCAGGAUUUUCCUGCCACAAGCCUGGCAGAUAUUCAGAAUGCACGGGGUAUCAUGGACGUUCUUUCGGAGAUGUUGAAUGCUUUAGAUCCUAGUAAAAGACAGGAACUUCGUCAGGAUGUCAUCGUUGACCUUGUGGAUCAGUGCCGUACAUACAAGCAGAGAGUCGUGCAGCUUGUCAACAGUACCUCGGACGAGGGGUUGCUCAGCCAGGGUCUUUGUUUGAAUGAUGAUCUGCAGCGUGUUUUAGCAAAACACGACGCUAUUGCUGCAGGCAUAGCGGUUCCGGUGGAGAAGCAGAGAUCGCUCCAUUCCACGCUAGCGAAGCCAGAUACUACAAAAGAAGCAGUUCAAAGGUCUUCAGCAACUACUUCAAGUGCAAGCAAGCAGUCACCCUCAGAACAAUUGGCGCUUCCCGCGCCGGCACCUCGAUCAUCUAGCAGUGCAAAAGCUAUUGUUGCAGCACCAGCUCCUAGUUUCGACCUCCUUAGUGGAGAUGACUACAUCAAACCUGAACCUGAAAACUCGCUGGCGCUUGUUCCUGUCAGUGAAUACUCAGCUUCAGACCAGAAUGUAUUGGCCCUUGCAGACAUGUUCCAACAAAAUAGUGUUGCUGCCAACAAUAGAAACCAUAACCAGCUUACAAACUCUUUUGUUUCCCCUGCAUCUCGAGCAAACCCUGCUCCAGUGCACCCUACUCUGCCUCAGCAACCCACUACUUAUUCAAACGGGGACAUCGUACCUUACGGUCAACAAUCUCAACCGAACGUCACAAGGUCAUGGAAUGGGCAGCCUGCUUAUGGAGUGGAUUCUCAACGGCAAGCACUAAAUUAUGGUGUAGAGGAUCAGAACAGAGGCCUUCCACCACCACCCUGGGAAAUUCAGCACUUGACGGGUAACCAACCCCAACAAGCACAAAGUGGUCAAGGAUUCAUGUCAACACAACAAAUGCCAGGAGGUAUGCGCUUGCCACCGGUGCUCGGCGCGCAGCAAGCACCACAGUUUGUGCCGAACAUGCAAUACGGGGGCAUGUACCCGAAUUCGAUGCAAAUCAACCAAGGAAUGGGCAUGAACUCCCAACCGAUUGUCGGCGGACAGUUUUAUGGGAUGAACUAUCAACAGUCAUAUGCAGUUCAAAUGGCCGGUUAUGGGUAUGUGCACCAAUCUGGAGGCUACUACAUCCCGAACGCCGCAUAUGCGUAUACCAGUGCAAAUGAACUUUCUCAGAGAAUGAAUGGUGCAACGUCAUCCUUUUCUCUGAAGCAGCAGAAUAAAGCAAGCAGGCCAGAAGACUCGCUCUUUGGCGAUCUUCUUAGCAUAGCCAAAAUGAAGCAGAGCAAACCUGCAGCUGGUAAGGUCGGUGGCUUGUAA